Molecule: ribosomal RNA, 465 nt
Filed under: Vreelandella stevensii
Lineage: Bacteria; Pseudomonadati; Pseudomonadota; Gammaproteobacteria; Oceanospirillales; Halomonadaceae
Description: partial 16S ribosomal RNA
Rfam family: Bacterial small subunit ribosomal RNA
Source: RNAcentral
CCUACGGGGGGCAGCAGUGGGGAAUAUUGGACAAUGGGGGGAACCCUGAUCCAGCCAUGCCGCGUGUGUGAAGAAGGCCCUCGGGUUGUAAAGCACUUUCAGUGAGGAAGAACGCCUGGUGGUUAAUACCCAUCAGGAAAGACAUCACUCACAGAAGAAGCACCGGCUAACUCCGUGCCAGCAGCCGCGGUAAUACGGAGGGUGCGAGCGUUAAUCGGAAUUACUGGGCGUAAAGCGCGCGUAGGUGGCUUGAUAAGCCGGUUGUGAAAGCCACGGGCUCAACCUGGGAACGGCAUCCGGAACUGUCAAGCUAGAGUGCAGGAGAGGAAGGUAGAAUUCCCGGUGUAGCGGUGAAAUGCGUAGAGAUCGGGAGGAAUACCAGUGGCGAAGGCGGCCUUCUGGACUGACACUGACACUGAGGUGCGAAAGCGUGGGUAGCAAACAGGAUUAGAUACCCGGGUAGUC